Molecule: ribosomal RNA, 445 nt
Filed under: Gobiusculus flavescens
Lineage: Eukaryota; Metazoa; Chordata; Actinopteri; Gobiiformes; Gobiidae
Description: partial small subunit ribosomal RNA
Rfam family: Bacterial small subunit ribosomal RNA
Source: RNAcentral
CAAAAGCUUGGUCCUGACUUUACCAUCAAUUUUGAUCAAAUUUAUACAUGCAAGUAUCCGCACCCCUGUGAGAAUGCCCUGCAUUUUUCCCACCGAAAAAGAGGAGCUGGAAUUAGGCACGCUCUAGAGCAGCCCACAAUUCCCUGCUUAGCCACACCCCCAAGGGAGCUCAGCAGUAAUAAACAUUAAGCUAUAAGUGAAAACUUGACUUAGUUAAGAUCAAGAGGGCCGGUAAAACUCGUGCCAGCCACCGCGGUUAUACGAGAGGCCCAAGUUGACGGAUGCCGGCGUAAAAUGUGGUUAAUUUACAGUAUUACACUAAAGCAAAACACCUUCUAAGCUGUUAUAUGCUCUCGAAGACAGGAGGCCCCUUUACGAAAGUAGCUUUAAGCAAUAUGACCCCACGAAAGCUAGGGAACAAACUGGGAUUAGAUACCCCACUAUG